CUACGGGAUGCACCAGUGAGGAAUAUUGCACAAUGGGGGGAACCCUGAUGCAGCAACGCCGCGUGGAGGAUGACGCAUUUCGGUGUGUAAACUCCUUUUACAUGUCAAGAAAAUGACGGUAGCAUAUGAAUAAGCACCGGCUAACUCCGUGCCAGCAGCCGCGGUAAUACGGAGGGUGCAAGCGUUACUCGGAAUCACUGGGCGUAAAGGGCGCGUAGGCGGGUUGGAAAGUCAGGUGUGAAAUCCUACAGCUUAACUGUAGAACUGCACUUGAAACUUCUAAUCUAGAGUAUGGGAGGGGGAGAUGGAAUUAGUGGUGUAGGGGUAACAUCCGUAGAUAUCACUAGGAAUACCUAAAGCGAAGGCGAUCUCCUGGAACAUUACUGACGCUAAGGCGUGAAAGCGUGGGGAGCAAACAGGAUUAGAUACCCUUGUAGUC
RNAcentral lists this ribosomal RNA (439 nucleotides) under uncultured bacterium. RNAcentral's name for it is "partial 16S ribosomal RNA". It matches the Rfam family "Bacterial small subunit ribosomal RNA", at positions 339 to 795 of the family's 1533-position model. The record is from RNAcentral.